AAGUGAGAAGCGUCCCUCCUCAGGCCCUGAGUGGUUGAGUUCCAGCUUCUGACCUCUACCAGAGGAGCUCAACAGAGCACAGAUCUGCUCAGAAUCUCAAACCUUUUGUUGGGCUUUAUUUAUUUAUUUAUUUAUUUAUUUAUUUAUUUAUCUAUCUAUUUAUUUAUUUUGAUAUGAGAAACUUAGAAAUAAUUCAAAAUGUAUGCUCAGUUGGCAGGGAGUCAGCUGACCUCAAUAGAUCCAUUCAUGCUGCCAGACUGUUAAUGAACAGCUUGAAGACCACCAUGGUUCGAAGUAUUGACACCACAGAUACUUGGCCAAUGCUACAAGUUAGGGCUUUUUUCGUUUUGUUUUAAUUUGGUUUGGGAUUUGAGAGCUGGCUUGAUACAAUUUUCAUAUCAUGACACGGAAGUGUGGGGGGGU
This 423-nucleotide long non-coding RNA is filed under the name Mus musculus (house mouse). RNAcentral's name for it is "long non-coding RNA chr11:11716974-11717397". The record is from RNAcentral. Lineage: Eukaryota; Metazoa; Chordata; Mammalia; Rodentia; Muridae.